This 2635-nucleotide long non-coding RNA is filed under the name Triticum aestivum (bread wheat). Its description in RNAcentral is "long non-coding RNA (TAES_LNC016232)". The record is from RNAcentral. Lineage: Eukaryota; Viridiplantae; Streptophyta; Magnoliopsida; Poales; Poaceae.
AUUUGCGUGGCUUACAUCGUUGAAUGGUCUGUAUUCUUUUCACCAUCACCAUUGUUUUAUCCAUUUCUUUUCGAACUUGCCUGGCUUACAUCAUUGAACGGGUUGUUGGUGGAUAUGUACUAAUGAAGAAACAAAAGUAACACAAUACACAUGAACCGAUAACAAACUUACACAGGACCUAACAACAAGAACAGGCAUGAACUAACAACGAUAACAAAUUUGCAGGCGGACUGACAACAAGAACACAGAUGAACUUAAAACAAAAAUGUAAAUGGUGACCAACUCAGAGGCAUACUGUAGCACGCAGGAGCGGCAACCAAUUAGUCAACUCAUCAAGGCCACCAAUACGCAGGAGAGCAUGGUGUGGGAAACAAUAAUGGGAGGCUACGUGUGGUCGUGGAUGCAUUGUGGGGGUUGAGCGACAACUGUGGUUGAUGGCAAGCUGGAACGACAAGAACGGGCAGCUUGAGAACAAGUGGGCGGUGCGCGACAUCUCACUUUAGAUGCGCCUGUUGGACUGAUUUCCUUCUCCCAUCUGGACGUAUCAAUUGCAGAACUUUCUAUUAGAAACAUUAAAGAUACAAAAUAGUCGUGUGCUCAAACUUGAAGUAAGAUAUGAUUUCAUGUCCUUAUCCAUUAAUAAAAUCAUACUAUGUACAUUUGUAGAAUACUUGCUCUCAGUACUAGUCAUUCUACUUAGUUAUCCAAAACAGUUGUGAAUGCUACAUCCAUUUUUCUCAAUAAAAUGUAACAUAUAAGUUUGAUACAGACAGAAAUAUGCACCAAAAGAUAUACCCAAAAUUCAAGUUCACAACAUCGGAAGAAACAAAUAAUUUGAUGCCAACCUAAGUGAGCACUGAAAGAUGCAAAGAAGAGGCUUUUUUGAGACAUUGACUUUGGUACAUGUUUUUCUCUACAAAUUGAUAAACCAAGAGCAGUACAGAUGCUCAUUUCUCAUGCUUAACCACAAGCACACGUUUGUUCUAUACGAAGCUGGAAACAUAAAACAGAAAUUGGACUUACAAUGAGGAAGUAGAUGUACUAAAAGUUGAAGCUUUGGAUCCUCAUGACGAACUGGACCAUACUGGAGUUUUGAAUGGUGGUGAAGCUUCACAUCCUUCAUCGUCACUCCUGCCAUGAGCCAAAAUCACAAACUUCAAAAUUACGAACUUCGUCUACUUUAUUUUUUCUUUCAAAAUUUUGCUUGUUUUCUAAACGUCCAACAAGAAUAAUGUAGAUCCUCCAAUUUCACCCUUUUUGUAACUGCUACAUCUGGUUUUGGCUGCAUCCUGAAAAAAUAAAAAUCUAAGAGAUGAGAUACCAGCAUGUGUAAUGAUUCUUGUGCAGAAUAUGGAAACACAAAGAUGAUCAGACUUUUGAUUGGAAAGUAGAUGAGCUGAAAAGCAUCCAAACUACGAACUGAAAACAUUGAAGCUCUGGAACACCCAACAUGGGGCAACAGUGACUGGCGGGGUAGCACUGGAACCCAGCAGUAGAGACAGCCGCUGCAUCGGCCAUGAGCGGCUCGCCACACACAUCUGCUCCAUGCGUUUGUCUCCUUGCUCGCCAUAGUACACUAGCCGCCUACUCACUGUCACCGGUCGGGCCUUGCACAUACCAGUAACCAAUUAACCACGCACUACAACACACCUAGGACUGUAUCUUUGGCACACUUUGAACUGAUGGGUAAUUUUGUGUAUUUUUAUUACUGCACAUGAAGUUAAAGUAACACCAAAACUAGCAACUCUAUUAGCUUCAUCUUUUAGAAGUGCACAAGAAGGUAGAAGAAGAUUGAAACUAGCAACUGUAAUACUUCAUCUUUAGAAGUUAGGGCACAUGAAGGUAAAAGAAGACUGACGAGCUAGUAAAUGUAACAUUGUAAAAAACUAUGAGAUGCAUAACCACACAACAAAAACUAAGAGCAUGCAUGGAAACUCAAACUAUAUGGUUUUGUAGGUAGCAUAGCAUGGUCGCUCAGACCAAAAUCAAACACAGUGGUCAGCUAUAUGAUGUUUCUAUGACCAUGUUGUACCUACGACAGAGCAAUAACAUCACAUCAUGAGAGAAAGGAUGCAACAUGAACAGUUCAGGAGAUAGAACGGGUAGAGAAGAAGUAAAUAUGUUUUGAGGAGAUGAACUGACCAGGAUUUAAAUGAACUCUCACAAGCAGUAUUUUUUAUACUUCUUAUGUAGUAAUACAUGGACUUGCUGUCAAACAAUUCAGGUAGUUGAACUGGCCACACCGCUGCACCAUGUUGCCCAGCUCCUUCUCGACGGCCUGCUUAUUGUGAUCGCCGACGAGCACCCUGGGCUUCACCAUGAACCUGGUUAAAAGAUAUAUGGGACUGGACCCUGUAGAUUUAAAUGAACUCUCACUAGAAGUAAUUUUUGUACUUCCCAUGUAGUACUACAUGGACUUGCUGUAAAAUGCAUGGACCAUGUAAUAAUUUGGAAGUUAAUUAUAUUAUCAUCUCAAGGAGCUCAAGUUGGACUGAAACUCACUUGAUAACUGAAACUACUAGGGCGAGGGGCAGGAUCCAUGGUGCUGCUAGCAAUGAACGGCCUGGGGUGGUGGCAUUGAAUGGCUUGGAAUGGUGGUUGUGAACGUCAAGGGUGCUCCGGCAGCAGAGCCCCA